CAACCUGCCCACCACUUGGGGAUAACCUUGCGAAAGUAAGACUAAUACCCAGUGACGUCUCUAGAAGACAUCUGAAGGAGAUUAAAGAUUUAUCGGUGAUGGAUGGGGAUGCGUCUGAUUAGCUUGUUGGCGGGGUAACGGCCCACCAAGGCGACGAUCAGUAGGGGUUCUGAGAGGAAGGUCCCCCACAUUGGAACUGAGACACGGUCCAAACUCCUACGGGAGGCAGCAGUGAGGAAUAUUGGUCAAUGGGCGAGAGCCUGAACCAGCCAAGUAGCGUGCAGGAUGACGGCCCUAUGGGUUGUAAACUGCUUUUAUAAGGGAAUAAAGUGAGUCUCGUGAGACUUUUUGCAUGUACCUUAUGAAUAAGGACCGGCUAAUUCCGUGCCAGCAGCCGCGGUAAUACGGAAGGUCCGGGCGUUAUCCGGAUUUAUUGGGUUUAAAGGGAGCGUAGGCCGGAGAUUAAGCGUGUUGUGAAAUGUAGACGCUCAACGUCUGCACUGCAGCGCGAACUGGUUUCCUUGAGUACGCACAAAGUGGGCGGAAUUCGUGGUGUAGCGGUGAAAUGCUUAGAUAUCACGAAGAACUCCGAUUG
This 595-nucleotide ribosomal RNA is filed under the name uncultured Bacteroidota bacterium. RNAcentral's name for it is "bacterial SSU rRNA". It matches the Rfam family "Bacterial small subunit ribosomal RNA", at positions 122 to 715 of the family's 1533-position model. Lineage: Bacteria; Pseudomonadati; Bacteroidota. The record is from RNAcentral.